UGGGGGUGAUCGUCAGCUUUCUCCAAUAGUUACCGAAAGUGAUGUUUUUUUUUUAUCUACUGACCUACAAGGCUACCACUACUCUACAAGAAAUGGUAUCAUGUAUUUAAGAGAUGUUAUAAAAACUAAUAUUGUAGCUUAUUUUACUAUAUUAGGAAUAUGAUCUUCACAUUUGCAAAGUAUAUACAGUGUAUAAACAUUUUCUGAUCAAACUAGUUAGGUUUGACUGCACACAUCAAAUGGUUAUUUUUACCGUUGUUUUUUUCUUUUGGACCAGG
Molecule: long non-coding RNA, 278 nt
Filed under: Sorghum bicolor (sorghum)
Lineage: Eukaryota; Viridiplantae; Streptophyta; Magnoliopsida; Poales; Poaceae
Description: long non-coding RNA (SBIC_LNC013495)
Source: RNAcentral